UCAUUGGGAGAAAAACACUAUAUAUAGAAAUACCUAAAAUAUGAGUUUCAACAUGGAAAAUCUUGAUACAGAAGUGUAAAAAUAGGCAUUGGGGAAGGUAAGCGAAGAGGUCAAUUUAUCCUCUAGACAACGUCACAAAUAUAAGACAACUAUGGCUAGCUGCCGUGAUUUUGUUCCAUUAUCAAGGGAAAAUCAAAUUCUAAUAAAUUAAAUAUUUCCUCUUAUUUUCAUAACUUAAUUUAAAAUUUUUAAGCAUUCAGAAUCUACCUUAUGUUCUGAUUUAUCUCUUUCCAUUCUCUAUUUAGUUUCUCCAAAGUGGCCCCACUAGUUGAAGCCAGGAUUAUGAUCUAGGCUUUUCUAUAAUGAAGUAAGAAUAAUAUCAUCAUUCAACACCAUCAAAGCAUGCCCUUGAAGGGGACUGUGGGACCCUGAUCUCUUCUUAUCCCUCUUUUUUGGUUCUUGACUCAUGAGGUAAGCAUUUUGUUUUACUACAUGUUUUUACUAUAAUGUGUUGUCCUUGUGAGAGACCCAAAUUGAUGGGGCCACUUAAAUUUUGAACUAGAAUCUACCGAACAGGAAUCCAAAAUAAAAUUUUUUCCUUUAUAGUUUACUUCCCUUAGGUGUUUCAGUAUAAUAACAUAAAAAUAACAUAAUAUCCUUUCAUAGUGACUUUUGUAUUGCUAGAAAAUGAAAACAAGACAAAGUAAAAUAGAAGCAACUGUACUAUUAAGAAAAAAAAAGAUGAUUAGGAAGAAUAUAAAUCAAGAUAAUUCCUAGGUUCUUGAGCAAAAUUUUCCCAAA
Molecule: non-coding RNA, 801 nt
Organism: Ictidomys tridecemlineatus (thirteen-lined ground squirrel)
Lineage: Eukaryota; Metazoa; Chordata; Mammalia; Rodentia; Sciuridae
Source: RefSeq, a predicted model, not a curated record